RNAcentral lists this ribosomal RNA (468 nucleotides) under uncultured bacterium. RNAcentral describes it as "partial 16S ribosomal RNA". It matches the Rfam family "Bacterial small subunit ribosomal RNA", at positions 28 to 507 of the family's 1533-position model. The record is from RNAcentral.
GACGAACGCUGGCGGCGUGCUUAACACAUGCAAGUCGAACGGAAAGGCCCUGCUUUUGUGGGGUGCUCGAGUGGCGAACGGGUGAGUAACACGUGAGUAACCUGCCCUUGACUGUGGGAUAACUUCAGGAAACUGGGGCGAAUACCGGAUAGGAGCUCCUGCUGCAUGGGGGGGGUUGGAAAGUUUCGGCGGUGGGGGAUGGACUCGCGGCUUAUCAGCUUGUUGGUGGGGUAGUGGCUUACCAAGGCUUUGACGGGUAGCCGGCCUGAGAGGGUGACCGGCCACAUUGGGACUGAGAUACGGCCCAGACUCCUACGGGAGGCAGCAGUGGGGAAUAUUGCACAAUGGGCGGAAGCCUGAUGCAGCAACGCCGCGUGCGGGAUGACGGCCUUCGGGUUGUAAACCGCUUUCGCCUGUGACGAAGCGUGAGUGACGGUAAUGGGUAAAGAAGCACCGGCUAACUACGUG